This 407-nucleotide ribosomal RNA is filed under the name uncultured bacterium. RNAcentral's name for it is "partial 16S ribosomal RNA". It matches the Rfam family "Bacterial small subunit ribosomal RNA", at positions 30 to 526 of the family's 1533-position model. The record is from RNAcentral.
AUUGAACGCUGGCGGCAGGCCUAACACAUGCAAGUCGAGCGGAGCGGCGGACGGGCGGGUAAGUCCUAGGAGUCUGCCUGGUAGUGGGGGAUAACUUACUGCAACGGGCGCUAACACCUAAUGCUAUCAGAUGAGCCUAGGUCGGAUGAGCUAGCUGGUGGGGUAAAGGCCUACCAAGGCGACGAUCCGUAGCUGGUCUGACUGGAGGAUCAGUCACACUGGAACUGAGACACGGUCCAGACUCCUACGGGAGGCAGCAGUGGGGAAUAUUGCACAAUGGGCGAAAGCCUGAUGCAGCCAUGCCGCGUGUGUGAAGAAGGUCUUCGGAUUGUAAAGCACUUUAAGUUGGGAGGCGUUACCCACAGAAUAAGCACCGGCUAACUCCGUGCCAGCAGCCGCGGUAAUUC